AAUGGAGGACCGAACCGACUUACGUUGAAAAGUGAGCGGAUGAACUGAGGGUAGCGGAGAAAUUCCAAUCGAACUUGGAGAUAGCUGGUUCUCUCCGAAAUAGCUUUAGGGCUAGCCUCAAGUGAUGAUUAUUGGAGGUAGAGCACUGUUUGGACGAGGGGCCCCUCUCGGGUUACCGAAUUCAGACAAACUCCGAAUGCCAAUUAAUUUAACUUGGGAGUCAGAACAUGGGUGAUAAGGUCCGUGUUCGAAAGGGAAACAGCCCAGACCACCAGCUAAGGUCCCAAAAUAUAUGUUAAGUGGAAAAGGAUGUGGCGUUGCCCAGACAACUAGGAUGUUGGCUUAGAAGCAGCCAUCAUUUAAAGAGUGCGUAAUAGCUCACUAGUCGAGUGACACUGCGCCGAAAAUGUACCGGGGCUAAACAUAUUACCGAAGCUGUGGAUUGUCCUUUGGACAAUGGUAGGAGAGCGUUCUAAGGGCGUCGAAGCAUGAUCGCAAGGACAUGUGGAGCGCUUAGAAGUGAGAAUGCCGGUGUGAGUAGCGAAAGACGGGUGAGAAUCCCGUCCACCGAUUGACUAAGGUUUCCAGAGGAAGGCUCGUCCGCUCUGGGUUAGUCGGGUCCUAAGCUGAGGCCGACAGGCGUAGGCGAUGGAUAACAGGUUGAUAUUCCUGUACCACCUAGUAUCGUUUUAAUCGAUGGGGGGACGCAGUAGGAUAGGCGAAGCGUGCU
Molecule: ribosomal RNA, 730 nt
Filed under: Staphylococcus epidermidis
Lineage: Bacteria; Bacillati; Bacillota; Bacilli; Caryophanales; Staphylococcaceae
Description: partial 23S ribosomal RNA
Rfam family: Bacterial large subunit ribosomal RNA
Source: RNAcentral